GACGAACGCUGGCGGCGUGCCUAAUACAUGCAAGUAGAACGCUGAAGGAGGAGCUUGCUUCUCUGGAUGAGUUGCGAACGGGUGAGUAACGCGUAGGUAACCUGCCUGGUAGCGGGGGAUAACUAUUGGAAACGAUAGCUAAUACCGCAUAACAGUAGAUAUCGCAUGAUAUCUACUUGAAAGGUGCAAUUGCGUCACUACCAGAUGGACCUGCGUUGUAUUAGCUAGUUGGUGAGGUAACGGCUCACCAAGGCGACGAUACAUAGCCGACCUGAGAGGGUGAUCGGCCACACUGGGACUGAGACACGGCCCAGACUCCUACGGGAGGCAGCAGUAGGGAAUCUUCGGCAAUGGACGGAAGUCUGAACGAGCAACGCCGCGGGAGUGAAGAAGGUUUUCGGAUCGUAAAGCUCUGUUGUAAGAGAAGAACGAGUGUGAGAGUGGAAAGUUCACACUGUGACGGUAGCUUACCAGAAAGGGACGGCUAACUACGUG
RNAcentral lists this ribosomal RNA (495 nucleotides) under uncultured bacterium. Its description in RNAcentral is "partial 16S ribosomal RNA". It matches the Rfam family "Bacterial small subunit ribosomal RNA", at positions 28 to 507 of the family's 1533-position model. The record is from RNAcentral.